Non-coding RNA from Pelobates cultripes (western spadefoot toad), 167 nucleotides. Lineage: Eukaryota; Metazoa; Chordata; Amphibia; Anura; Pelobatidae. The record is from the annotation of a GenBank genome assembly.
GGUCAGCUGACACAUCCCGGCCAAUCUCCAGCAGACCCUCCCUCCCAGACCCUCCUACUUCCUGGACAGCAUCCAUGUUGAAGGCAGCUUCAACAUGGAUGCUGUCCAGGAGGUGGGAGGGUCUGGGAGGGAGGGUCUGCCGGAGAUUGGCAGGGAUGUGUUAGCUG